Long non-coding RNA from Solanum pennellii, 1246 nucleotides. RefSeq lists it as uncharacterized. The transcript is spliced from 6 exons. The record is from RefSeq and is a predicted model, not a curated record. NCBI's taxonomy places the organism in Eukaryota, Viridiplantae, Streptophyta, Magnoliopsida, Solanales, Solanaceae.
AGCCUUAGUUAACCUAUCCCACAAGAUUGACAAGAGGGGUGGCAAAAAUGCGGAGUUACAGUUCUGCCGGCGUUCACAUAUUUGAUCUCCGGGGAAUUGGGUAAGAGUAUUACAAGGUGGAAAUCGAACCCUAAAUUUGAAAUUUCAGUAGCCAGAUGUGAAAUUAUUUGUUGAUAAAGCUCAAAUCAAUAUAUUAUGGAACAGCAACUUCCGAAUCGCAACAGGUAAACUCCAUGUUGAGUCAAAUCAGUGUUGUGAAUGGCGAGCCUCAUCGCCAAAGGCGAGAGGCGAGGCGAGGCGAGGCCUUCUCGCCAUUCCACAUUGAGGCGAGGCGACAUACAAAAGGCGACCCGUGGCGAGCUAAUGGCGACAAUAAUGGCGGCGCCUUUUUGAUUUAUUUUUUUUAAAAGAUUUGACUUAACAAUAUUAGUUAAAAUUAGUUUUUUUUUCUAUUUUCAAAAUUUGCUGCUGCGCGACUCCUCUUACCCUCGCGAUCUCUUCUCCCCGACUCCUCUUCCCCUCGCCGGUCGAGUCUCUUCGAGAUUUCGAGUUGCUGCUGCACUGAGGACCUGAGCAGCUGUCUAAUUCAUACGUUAUCACCACUCACAAGCCUGAUAUGUUGUCAUGGAAAGGAACUGCAGAUGGUGGCUUAUGGUUAAAUCCGGCUAUAAAUUUCUGUCAAGAAACAUUUCUCCUAAUUCAGUCUGGUUGUAGAAAACAAUCUGGAAGAGUGCUGCACCAGAAAAGAUGCAAUGUCGACAUGUGCUGAUCUAAUGAUGAUAAGGUUCAUGCAAAAGAUACCUUAAGGCAGCGAAUCAGACUAACAGAACACUGUACCAACACCGACAACAUUGAUAUAUAAAGUUCGGAUUCCCUGAUGCUGUUCUUCAUUGUGGCUUCUGGCAUUGGAGAUAUUCUCUUUCUCUUUUAAGAUAUUUUCACUGUAAGUGAACGUGAGGGUCUCACAGUACAGAUUUCUGAAGCCUCGACAGAUCUUCGCCAUUAUGUCGAUCGUGCUGUUGUCAUCUACGCUAUAAGCCCCCCUGAUGACUCAUGGGUUCUUGUGGUAACUUCUGUCCUAGUGUUAAGCUGAAUAUUAGUGAGCAUUUUUCUUGACUCAUUUGGUGGCAUAAUAUUUUGACAUGAUGGUGUCAAAUUUUCACGUGCAGGGUGUCAUUGCUUUACAUGUUGUCCCAGUGAUAGUAGUCGUUAUGAUAUAUGAAAUUUGUUCUAUACGUCAAGCUAG